This 69-nucleotide transfer RNA is filed under the name Alphaproteobacteria bacterium. Its description in RNAcentral is "tRNA-Ala". It matches the Rfam family "tRNA". Rfam says of the family: Transfer RNA (tRNA) molecules are approximately 80 nucleotides in length. Their secondary structure includes four short double-helical elements and three loops (D, anti-codon, and T loops). Further hydrogen bonds mediate the characteristic L-shaped molecular structure. tRNAs have two regions of fundamental functional importance: the anti-codon, which is responsible for specific mRNA codon recognition, and the 3' end, to which the tRNAs corresponding amino acid is attached (by aminoacyl-tRNA synthetases). tRNAs cope with the degeneracy of the genetic code in two manners: having more than one tRNA (with a specific anti-codon) for a particular amino acid; and 'wobble' base-pairing, i.e. permitting non-standard base-pairing at the 3rd anti-codon position. The record is from RNAcentral. Lineage: Bacteria; Pseudomonadati; Pseudomonadota; Alphaproteobacteria.
UAGCUCAGUUGGGAGAGCGCUUGAAUGGCAUUCAAGAGGUCAGGGGUUCGACUCCCCUUGGCUCCACCA